Long non-coding RNA from Juglans microcarpa x Juglans regia, 438 nucleotides. RefSeq lists it as uncharacterized. The transcript is spliced from 2 exons. NCBI's taxonomy places the organism in Eukaryota, Viridiplantae, Streptophyta, Magnoliopsida, Fagales, Juglandaceae. The record is from RefSeq and is a predicted model, not a curated record.
CUGGGAAAAGAUCCGGUCAUAUGACGUGUUUUUUAUGGUGAAAAGAUCUACUCGGGGAGAGGACGCGUCUUGGAUGCCACAUAAACAGAGGUCUACGGAUUGGAGUUAUUCGACCAUAUUCCGUCAAUAUCGGCAAUUCAGUUGCGCGAAGUCAGCGGCACCAGAAGUAUUGCUGUUGUUCACCUCUGGCCUGAAGCAUCUGGCUAGUGCGGGUUUUGGUUCUUUGAUAGGCCUGCGCCCAACUGUCAGGUUCAGGUUGCCGGUCUCACGGCUGCAGAUCACGAUCAUCUCAGUAUUAUUGCAACAAUCCUCGACUCUUAGCUAUCAUGGUCCAUCCAAAUCCGCUGAUCUUCCCUCUCAUAAUCACUCCAAUUAUGAGCUGAAACCAAAUAAGAGCUAAACUUAACAAACGCCAUCGAAAUAACGGGUAUUGUUGAU